GCUGCUCCUGAAGUGAGAACUCCGAAACAAACCUUCGAUCCCCUGUGUUCUCCAUUGAACUCGUGAAUCACUGCGAGCCUUUGGUGAAGAGCGGUUGCAAACCAGGAGAAACACAAGGUAUGAGAUCCCGCCUGUGGAGCCAAGAUGUAAAGGGCAAGAUAUAGAUCGGCGGCGGAGAGACGCGAUUGCAACGGCAGAUUGAAGCGGCGGCGGCGCGUUGAUGGAUGCAGAUCGCGUCGGCCUUCCCUGCAGCCUGCGGUGACCUCACGAUAGGAUCUAGCGAGCAAGCACGAGGGCCUCGCGGUGGUGGAGGUGAUCUCCGUCUAGAGCGCGGCGGCCAUCGUGAUGUGGAGUGGGACACGCGCCGCAGCGACGCCUCGGCCUUGGCCCACACCUCGAGCACGGCCUCCACGCGCACUCGUCGCUUGAGCCCCCUCCCAACUGCCUCGACCGUUGCCGCGGCGGUGGAGGUGCCUGGACGCGAGGAAGUAGGCGCCGUGCUCCUUGGUGUCGCAGCGCAGGCAGAGGAACGCCGAGUCUGCGGCGCAGUGCACGGUGGCGGCGCCCCCACAGAGCUCGCACCUGGUACCGCACUUGUCGACGGUGGUGGCGGCUUCAACGAUGCAUGCGCAGAUCAACGCAAGUCAGGCAGGUGAGCUGUCUCAGAUGCUUAGAAGCUCACCAAGUCAUCGUCGUAGGCUCCGCCACCAAUAUAAAUGCCCUUUGCAUCAAGGUUUAUAUUAACAAAGAUAUGACAGACGUGAGAGAUAGAUGGAAGUAGCACGUAUAUGAUGGUCGGAAGCGAUUAUUAAAUAUAUGUAUAUAUAUACACACACAUAACAUCUUUCUAUUUGAUAGGUACAGUUUGAAAAGAAGGAUUCAGCAGACAAUCUUGUUUUCUGGCCUUACUUCCCAUCCAUAUUUCUGAUUAACAGGUAAAUUUCUGAAGAUGAUUGUAAAAUCUAUUUAUUUUCCAACAUUAGCAGUUAUUUGUGAUAUAAUAUUUAUGAGAUCAAGCUUAGUCUAUUUUUGUCCGAUGCUGUUGAAAUGCUUUAUCGGCUGGUGUUGUCGUUAUCAAAAGAAGCCAUCAUAGCCGGUGUUCCUUAGAAUGAUCAAAUGAUUCUUCAUUGGCAAAAUUGCUAUGGCCAUUCAUCUUCGGUGUGCAAUACUGAGACUUACAUGGCAAACCCUCAUCUAAGUUCUUAGUGGAAUAACUGUUUUCAACGAUAUUUGCAAGUUUGAUAGAUAUUUGCAAGUUUGAUAGUUGAUCCUGUCUUACUACUUAUGCCGUACACCUCUUGUACCAACUAUCUCGGCACGGUAUUUUCUGCACAUAACCAUGUAGAAUACCAUUUACUGGGAAGGUUAGUAAGAAAACUUUACCAGCAAAUUAUGUACUCAUUCAUUUCCUUUCAAAAUCAAUCAGAGAUUUGAAAACUGACAAACCUGCAAGGUCAGAGUUUGCCAGGUCCAUCUGGAGAAUGUCUAUUAUCUUUUUCCACAUGGUUUUAAUGCUGAUCUCCCUCCUUUCA
Molecule: RNA transcript, 1532 nt
Organism: Phragmites australis (common reed)
Lineage: Eukaryota; Viridiplantae; Streptophyta; Magnoliopsida; Poales; Poaceae
Exons: 3
Source: RefSeq, a predicted model, not a curated record